GAUGACAGGCUUCAGGAGGAGGUAGCUGUGAUGUGUUCCAGCUGUAGACACACCACAUACAGAUGACAGGCUUCAGGAGGAGGUAGCUGUGAUGUGUUCCAGCUGUAGACACACCACAUACAGAUGACAGGCUUCAGGAGGAGGUAGCUGUGAUGUGUUCCAGCUGUAGACACACCACAUACAGAUGACAGGCUUCAGGAGGAGGUAGCUGUGAUGUGUUCCAGCUGCAGACACACCAUGUACCGAUGACAGGCUUCAGGAGGAGGUACUUGUGAUCUGUUCCAGCUGUAGACACACCACAUACAGAUGACAGGCUUCAGGAGGAGGUAGCUGUGAUGUGUUCCAGCUGCAGACACACCAUGUACAGAUGACAGGCUUCAGGAGGAGGUAGCUGUGAUCUGUUCUAGCUGUAGUCACAUUGCACAGAUGACAUGAAUCAAGAGGAUGUGGUGGUGGGACGUGUUUAAGCUGUAGUCACAUUACGCAGAUGACCAACAUGAGAAACAGUACAAAGAAUGGCAUUUUCAGCCCUGCACUCGCUGAAAAAGACAACAUAAUUCAUCAUCACUGAGAGAACUUGACCAAAACUUACGAAAGGUAACACAUAAACUUUAUUAUGGAAUUCAAAGCCUCUAUGGUUUAAAACUUUUAGAACAAGCACAUUAUUGAUGACAACCCGCUCGCAGUUUGAAGGAAGGACUAUGUGACUAAAGGUAUACGUGAAGAUCCGGAUAGAGUUGAUCCUCAGUAACCAAUACGUAUCGUGAGAGAUGACUAAGAGAAUAAAGUUGAUGCAUGUCAA
Haliotis rubra (blacklip abalone) is the source of this 802-nucleotide long non-coding RNA. RefSeq lists it as uncharacterized. The record is from RefSeq and is a predicted model, not a curated record. The transcript has 2 exons. Lineage: Eukaryota; Metazoa; Mollusca; Gastropoda; Lepetellida; Haliotidae.